Molecule: long non-coding RNA, 268 nt
Filed under: Zostera marina
Lineage: Eukaryota; Viridiplantae; Streptophyta; Magnoliopsida; Alismatales; Zosteraceae
Description: long non-coding RNA (ZMAR_LNC002061)
Source: RNAcentral
UAACCUCACUGUAAAUCAGAAUAACAUAAACUGAUUUAUAAAACUAUUUUAAUCAUGGUUACAGGACCUAAAAGCAAUUAUCUGUUGAAGAACACUGGACAGAUAAAUGACCCAAGACUAAGAACGAGAAGUUGAGGUUAAUGAUGCAAAAGUUUAAGUGAAGGAUAUACUCGUAAUAACAAAGAAGCUUUGGGUAAAGGUUGCAAAUGUUCCAAUAAUACAGUUGGGCCGACAUUGGAAAUGGGCUACGGACCAGGCUAAAUAACAC